RNAcentral lists this ribosomal RNA (497 nucleotides) under uncultured bacterium. RNAcentral describes it as "partial 16S ribosomal RNA". It matches the Rfam family "Bacterial small subunit ribosomal RNA", at positions 28 to 507 of the family's 1533-position model. The record is from RNAcentral.
GAUGAACGCUGGCGGCGUGCCUAAUACAUGCAAGUCGAGCGAACAGACGAGGAGCUUGCUCCUCUGACGUUAGCGGCGGACGGGUGAGUAACACGUGGAUAACCUACCUAUAAGACUGGGAUAACUUCGGGAAACCGGAGCUAAUACCGGAUAUCAUGUUGAACCGCAUGGUUCAACAGUGAAAGACGGUUUUGCUGUCACUUAUAGAUGGAUCCGCGCCGCAUUAGCUAGUUGGUAAGGUAACGGCUUACCAAGGCAACGAUGCGUAGCCGACCUGAGAGGGUGAUCGGCCACACUGGAACUGAGACACGGUCCAGACUCCUACGGGAGGCAGCAGUAGGGAAUCUUCCGCAAUGGGCGAAAGCCUGACGGAGCAACGCCGCGUGAGUGAAGAAGGUCUUCGGAUCGUAAAACUCUGUUAUUAGGGAAGAACAAAUGUGUAAGUAACUAUGCACGUCUUGACGGUACCUAAUCAGAAAGCCACGGCUAACUACGUG